Molecule: ribosomal RNA, 556 nt
Filed under: Pseudomonas sp. faro2_2
Lineage: Bacteria; Pseudomonadati; Pseudomonadota; Gammaproteobacteria; Pseudomonadales; Pseudomonadaceae
Description: bacterial SSU rRNA
Rfam family: Bacterial small subunit ribosomal RNA
Source: RNAcentral
ACAUGCAAGUCGAGCGGAGAAGGGAGCUUGCUCCUGGAUUCAGCGGCGGACGGGUGAGUAAUGCCUAGGAAUCUGCCUGGUAGUGGGGGAUAACGUCCGGAAACGGGCGCUAAUACCGCAUACGUCCUGAGGGAGAAAGUGGGGGAUCUUCGGACCUCACGCUAUCAGAUGAGCCUAGGUCGGAUUAGCUAGUUGGUGGGGUAAAGGCCUACCAAGGCGACGAUCCGUAACUGGUCUGAGAGGAUGAUCAGUCACACUGGAACUGAGACACGGUCCAGACUCCUACGGGAGGCAGCAGUGGGGAAUAUUGGACAAUGGGCGAAAGCCUGAUCCAGCCAUGCCGCGUGUGUGAAGAAGGUCUUCGGAUUGUAAAGCACUUUAAGUUGGGAGGAAGGGCAGUAAGUUAAUACCUUGCUGUUUUGACGUUACCAACAGAAUAAGCACCGGCUAACUUCGUGCCAGCAGCCGCGGUAAUACGAAGGGUGCAAGCGUUAAUCCGGAAUUACUGGGCGUAAAGCGCGCGUAGGUGGUUCAGCAAGUUGGAUGUGAAAAUCCC